This is a small nuclear RNA of Nomascus leucogenys (northern white-cheeked gibbon), 107 nucleotides long. NCBI's taxonomy places the organism in Eukaryota, Metazoa, Chordata, Mammalia, Primates, Hylobatidae. The record is from Ensembl.
GUGCUUGCUUCGGCAGCACAUAUACUAAAAUUGGAACAAUACAGAGAAGAUUAGUACGGAGCCUGCGCAAGGAUGACAUGCAAAUUCGUGAUGCAUUCCAUAUUCUU